Molecule: ribosomal RNA, 497 nt
Filed under: uncultured bacterium
Lineage: Bacteria
Description: partial 16S ribosomal RNA
Rfam family: Bacterial small subunit ribosomal RNA
Source: RNAcentral
GAUGAACGCUGGCGGCGUGCCUAAUACAUGCAAGUCGAGCGAAAAGACGAGGAGCUUGCUCCUCUGACGUUAGCGGCGGACGGGUGAGUAACACGUGGAUAACCUACCUAUAAGACUGGGAUAACUGCGGGAAACCGGAGCAAAUACCGGAUAAUAUAUUGAAACGCAUGGUUCAAUAGUGAAAGACGGUUUUGCUGUAAGUAAUAGAUGGAUCUGCGCCGCAUUAGCUAGUUUGUAAGGUAACGGCCUAACAAGGCGACGAUGCGUAGCCGAGCUGAGAGAGGGGUCCGCCACCUGGGAACUUAAACACCGUCCCUGCGCCUACGGGAUGCCGCAGUCGCGAAUCUUCCGCAAUGGUCGAAAACCUUACCGAACCACCGCGCGUUUGUUAUUGAGGUCCUCCGAUCGUAAAACUCCUUUUUUAGGGGAAAACCACCCUUUCAGUAACCAUGCCCUGCUUGACGGUACCUAAUCAGAAAGCCACGGCUAACUACGUG